Suncus etruscus (white-toothed pygmy shrew) is the source of this 346-nucleotide long non-coding RNA. RefSeq lists it as uncharacterized. Lineage: Eukaryota; Metazoa; Chordata; Mammalia; Eulipotyphla; Soricidae. The transcript is spliced from 3 exons. The record is from RefSeq and is a predicted model, not a curated record.
CUGGGAACAGGCACAUCAUACUGUGUUCAGAGCUUACUCUUGGCUCUGUGCUCUAGAAUCAUUCAAAGCAGUGGUCAUGGGAACAUUUGUGGUGCCAGAGAAGGAACCCAGAUAUUUUCUGAGUGUCUCCAGUGGCAACUUCUGCUUGGAUGGAGAGUACGUAGGCACAAUCUGAGACUUUGCAGUGCACAGGGAGAGGAGGCUGCUUUUUUGAAAGAGCCUGAAUAAAGCAGGAGAAGUCCCAGUCAAGGCUCGAUCCAAUGUUGACAAGCAGAAAGAAAAGCAAAGAGAACCAAUAACCAAGCAGUCUAUGCAUUAAGUCCUUUAUCCAUGACAUCAUGUGUUU